GAGAGAAGAAGGGCAGAUUUUGUGUGGUCUAGAUGCACGUGUGUGUACCUACCUCCGGACACAACAGACGUGCCCUAUCAUCCGCGGAUAUUUCAGGCUUCCAGCAGUGGUACUUAUGGCCUCCCACGAGUGGGAUCCUGAUCCAGGGGCGGAUGUAUGCACAGGUGAAUCAAAGAAAAAAAAAAUUGGGGUAGUAAAUGAUAGCCCAUUUCCGUCAAUUAGCUCAGUUACACCUGCUGUCAAGCCAGGGUAGAAAUCUAUUGUCAAGCCAGGAUAAGGUUUUUUGUUCGAGAAGUUCUUAAAUUAAGUAAUGAUCAAAGGUCAGUGCGAUCACUCCCACCACAAUGCCAUUUUUCAAAGUGGCAAUCAUUUGUUGAAUGGUUGCCCCAACUGAACCUUUCGCCUAUCGCACUUCAGAUAAAUAAAAGAAUCAGAAUGGAAUUUGUAUUUGUAAGUCAUAGCUUCAAUGUGUGGGAAAGUCGGGCAAUACAAGGUUAUUGUCUUGAGGAGUACAGGCUUGUCAACUGUAAAACCCCACGGAGCUGUUGCAAAUAUAUGCUAGAAACACUAGUCCACCCUUAAAAAGUGCCAAAACGGGACAUGAUUUACGAUUUUGUUAUUAGGACUCUGGUUGUUCUUUUAAUAGGUAAUAUUUUUGUUUGCAUCGCUAAAUUUUUUUUUUACAAGUGCACAUAAAUUAUUUCCAAGAUCCCUAACCUUAAAUUCUGGUUCCGCCACUGUCCUGAUCUAGUGAGAGCUCACCUCUUGGUUCCCACUCCGGCUUGGUAUGCUCGGCGAAGUGGAUGUAAAAUCGAACUCACCAUUCUUUUUUCUUUUUUCCUAAAGCAUAAACUCACCAUUCUGAUCGCAACGAAUGGUUUUUCUUUUUUCUUUUUUGAUUCAAAAGAAAUUUCUUUAUUAAUACUUAUAGCGAGUUACAUUAUCCAGAUUAAUUCAUCCCAACGUAUAAGGUGAAAAAUGUUUUCUUAUUCCUUUUUCUUUUCACAUUGUACUCGUAUCUACA
This is a long non-coding RNA of Papaver somniferum (opium poppy), 1024 nucleotides long. RefSeq lists it as uncharacterized. The record is from RefSeq and is a predicted model, not a curated record. The transcript has 3 exons. Lineage: Eukaryota; Viridiplantae; Streptophyta; Magnoliopsida; Ranunculales; Papaveraceae.